AUAUUAUCUUUAGUUCAUUGUAAGUGAUUGGCAUGGUUUUUCUGGGCAAAUCUAUUUUGCGAGUCUCGGUGUCACAAGAGGCUGGUGCAUUGUGAUUGUAUUGAAGAACUUGCCUUUUAAUACUGCGAGUCAUGCAACCUCCCUGCUUUCAUUUAUGCUUUCAGCUUAAUUCUACUUGAUCACCAAAGAUUUCUGCUCUUUGGACAUGGACAAAUCAGAUCAUGAAUUGUUCAUGACUGAUAUUUGCAAGAGAGCUCACUGUCUGCUUGGUCAGACAUGAAUGCACCGUGCUCUUUGUUGGGUUUAUUUCUCUUGCUCUGAUAUGCUGGCUAGAAUAUUGAAGAUGAUUGGACAAGCUUUACAUAAAUGCAACUGGGACAAGUUGAGUUCUUCACAGUGCUUGAAACUGUCAUAUUGAGCAUACUUAGAGAAAUCUGAUUGGUUUUGGAAUUAAACCAAUGAAACUUUGGAAAAUGGAUUACCUUGCAUUGGAAACUUUAUUUAUUAGAAGGAUUUUUUCAGGCUUUUAAAAUAAUUAGCUUUUCUAACUUGAAAACAAUUUUUCCGAGUUUAAUUUAUAGAACUAAAAUAAGAUGCAUCCCCUAAUUUGGAAGUUGUACAGUAAUCUACACAAACCCAAAUUUAUGUUUGAUUUAUAGGAAAAACAUUGGUUCAUGCCUUACCCUGUGAUUGACUGACACGUCUAGCAUUGCCUAAAUUAUUUUGCAUCACAAAGAUGCAAACCUUGUAAAUUUUUGUAUUGUGCAUGUAUCGAAAGUUAAUUCUGUCAACAUUUAUAUUCUCUACUCUAUUAUAGGAAUUGUUUUGUGCUUGGUUUGCGACAAGACACUUAAAUUAAUCAUCAAGUAAUAUUCUUCACUCUCUCUCACUGCAACAAAAAUUCUAACUCUACAAGACUAGGCCUUUUGGUUUUGGCUUGAUCACUUUUGCAAUCCUGUUCCUUUUUUAAUAAUACAUCAGCUCUUGCCUUGUAAAAAAGAAGAAGGAAGACCAAAAAGGUCCUUUUUCAACUAUAUUCUUAGAUGUAUUUCAUCGAUACCACUUAAUUAAUACAAAGAAGGGGAAACAAGUAUUAAAUCUUAUCUUAUUCAUGUAAAUAUAUUCUUUCAGAAUAUCUUAGCAUAUUUUCUUGCUAGCAUGUAAAUGUGGAAUGAAUCAAUCUCCUCUAUGGAAUAAAACUUGGCAAUGAAGAUUCUUGAAAGCAACUUAUGUUUGAGUUUGGCUGAGCAGUGGUGGCCUAAGUUUGGAAUAUGCUAGGCUAUUCUAUCUCAAAUCACAUAAUUGUGUUUAUUUCUUCUAUUGUUGUUCUAUGUUUUAGCCUUUUAAUCUGCUCCUUCAGAUGUUUUUUGCUUGUGGUUUUUUUUUUUUAAUUUUUUUUAUGAAGUCUAUACGAUAAAAUGAUGCUAGCCUACUGAAGUUUUUUUUAAUGUGUAUUAACAUUAAUAGAUGACGUUGUGAAUUGUUUUCUUUAUUCAUAUGCUUGUAUUAAGUGCAUGACAUGGUGAAUUGUUUUCUUUAAUAGCUAUAUCAGAUGACCAUCUUUUGCCCUUCCUUUUCUCAUUCAUUUCAUAUGCUUAUUCUUAUACAAUCUUUACUUUUACAUUCUUGGUAGCCUUGCUAAGGUUUGAAAUUGUAGUUCUGUGGACUGAAUUGCUGAAAGCCUGAAGAGCUUGUAAUUUCCAUUGUUUGAACGCAUAACAGAGAUUUGCAUCUCACUUUUUGAGGGGAAAAAGGGAUAGGAAGAAGUUCUAGGCCAAAAUAGAAAACACAGUGGUUAUAAUUUUUGGGUUCACGCUGUCGUUAAUCUCCAGCAUUAAAUGUUAUCUCAGUAUUACACAUGUUCUGUUGGUAGCAGCCUUCAAUAGAUAAUUCUACUGCUGGUUUUACAUUUUCAUAUUUUUAUUGUAGACAAGAUGUUGUUGAACUGCAGCCCCUCUAGAUACUUAUUAUCUAAGGGAAUACACAAGUUCUACUUGUGCCAUUUUUCUUAUUAUCUAACAGAAUUGUCUUUUUGCACUUGGUGGAUGCAUCUAGAUGUUUAUGUCACCACCAAAACGUUUUUUGUGGAUUUGGAAGAUCUUAUAGAAAAUGUGGCAGGAAGUGUUGAUUUGGACAGUUACUCUGUAAUCUUUUGCAAGCCAUGUAAAACACUAAAUAAAUGCUUUAUGAAUUAAAAAAUUCAAGAAA
Long non-coding RNA from Populus euphratica (Euphrates poplar), 2208 nucleotides. RefSeq lists it as uncharacterized. NCBI's taxonomy places the organism in Eukaryota, Viridiplantae, Streptophyta, Magnoliopsida, Malpighiales, Salicaceae. The transcript has 2 exons. The record is from RefSeq and is a predicted model, not a curated record.